CAGUCGCCGCGGUAACACGUAGGUGGCGAGCGUUGUCCGGAAUUAUUGGGCGUAAAGGGAGCGCAGGCGGACAUAUAAGUCCAUCUUAAAAGUGCGGGGCUCAACCCCGUGAGGGGAUGGAAACUGUAUGCCUUGAGUGCAGGAGAGGAAAGCGGAAUUCCCAGUGUAGCGGUGAAAUGCGUAGAUAUUGGGAGGAACACCAGUGGCGAAGGCGGCUUUCUGGACUGCAACUGACGCUGAGGCUCGAAAGCCAGGGGAGCGAACGGGAUUAGAUACCCCCGUAGUCCCUGUCUCUUAUACA
This 301-nucleotide ribosomal RNA is filed under the name uncultured bacterium. Its description in RNAcentral is "partial 16S ribosomal RNA". It matches the Rfam family "Bacterial small subunit ribosomal RNA", at positions 509 to 809 of the family's 1533-position model. The record is from RNAcentral.